This 253-nucleotide ribosomal RNA is filed under the name uncultured bacterium. RNAcentral's name for it is "partial 16S ribosomal RNA". It matches the Rfam family "Bacterial small subunit ribosomal RNA", at positions 524 to 776 of the family's 1533-position model. The record is from RNAcentral.
UACAGAGGUGGCAAGCGUUGUUCGGAAUUACUGGGCGUAAAGCGCGUGUAGGCGGCUCUUCAAGUCAGGCGUGAAAGCCCCGGGCUCAACUCGGGAACUGCGCUUGAUACUGUCGAGCUAGAGUGUGGAAGGGGCGAUUGGAAUUCCGUGUGUAGCGGUGAAAUGCGUAGAUAUACGGAGGAACACCAGGGGCGAAGGCGGAUCGCUGGGCCAACACUGACGCUGAGACGCGAAAGCUAGGGUAGCAAACGGG